UACGUAGGGGGCAAGCGUUGUCCGGAAUCAUUGGGCGUAAAGCGCGUGUAGGCGGCUUGGUAAGUCCGCUCUGAAAGCCCGGGGCUCAACCCCGGGAGGCGGGUGGAUACUGUCAAGCUCGAGUCCGGAAGAGGCGAGUGGAAUUCCUGGUGUAGCGGUGAAAUGCGCAGAUAUCAGGAGGAACACCAAUGGCGAAGGCAGCUCGCUGGGACGUGACUGACGCUGAGACGCGAAAGCGUGGGGAGUAAACAGG
RNAcentral lists this ribosomal RNA (253 nucleotides) under uncultured bacterium. RNAcentral's name for it is "partial 16S ribosomal RNA". It matches the Rfam family "Bacterial small subunit ribosomal RNA", at positions 524 to 776 of the family's 1533-position model. The record is from RNAcentral.